RNAcentral lists this ribosomal RNA (1498 nucleotides) under Lactobacillus delbrueckii subsp. bulgaricus. RNAcentral's name for it is "partial 23S ribosomal RNA". It matches the Rfam family "Bacterial large subunit ribosomal RNA", at positions 24 to 1531 of the family's 2925-position model. Lineage: Bacteria; Bacillati; Bacillota; Bacilli; Lactobacillales; Lactobacillaceae. The record is from RNAcentral.
GUGAAUGCCUUGGCACUGGAAGCCGAUGAAGGACGCGACUAACCGCGAAAGUCUUCGGGGAGCCGUAAGUAGGCUUUGAUCCGGAGGUCUCCGAAUGGGGGAACCCAGCAUGUGCAGACAUGCUAUCCUUAAGUGAAUACAUAGCUUAAGGAGGGAACACGCAGUGAACUGAAACAUCUAAGUAGCUGCAGGAAGAGAAAGAAAUAUCGAUUUCCCAAGUAGCGGCGAGCGAACAGGAAAGAGCCCAAACCGGCAGAUUUAUCUGCCGGGGUUGUAGGACUGAGACAUGGCACUUCAGAGGAUAGCAGAAGCGUUUGGGAAAGCGCGCCAGAGAGGGUGAGAGCCCCGUAAGCGAAAUCCAAAGAAGGCCUAUCAGUAUCCUGAGUAGGGCGGGACACGUGAAAUCCCGUUUGAAUCCGCGAGGACCAUCUCGCAAGGCUAAAUACUAACCAGUGACCGAUAGUGAACCAGUACCGUGAGGGAAAGGUGAAAAGAACCCCGGGAGGGGAGUGAAAGAGAACCUGAAACCGUGUGCCUACAAGUAGUCAGAGCCCGUUAACGGGUAAUGGCGUGCCUUUUGUAGAAUGAACCGGCGAGUUGCGUUAGUCAGCAAGGUUAAGUCAGAAAAGACGGAGCCGUAGCGAAAGCGAGUCUGAAGAGGGCGAGCAGUUGGCUGACGCAGACCCGAAACCAAGUGACCUACCCAUGACCAGGUUGAAGGCGCGGUAAAACGCGCUGGAGGACCGAACCCACGUAAGUUGAAAAUUGCGGGGAUGAGUUGUGGGUAGCGGUGAAAUUCCAAACGAACUUGGAGAUAGCUGGUUCUCUCCGAAAUAGCUUUAGGGCUAGCCUCGCAAAGAGGAUGCUGGAGGUAGAGCUCUGUUUGGACUAGGGGCCCGUCAAGGGUUACUGAAUUCAGAUAAACUGCGAAUUCCAGACAUUUAUGUGCGGGAGUCAGACUGCGAGUGAUAAGAUCCGUAGUCGAAAGGGAAACAGCCCAGAUCACCAGUUAAGGUCCCAAAAUUCAUGCUAAGUGGAAAAGGAUGUGGAGUUGCGCAGACAACUAGGACGUUGGCUCAGAAGCAGCCAUCAUUCAAAGAGUGCGUAAUAGCUCACUAGUCGAGUGACGCCGCGCCGAAAAUUUACCGGGGCUAAGCAUGAUACCGAAACUGUGGAUGUGCGUUUAUGCACGUGGUAGGAGAGCGUUCUAGCGGCGGUGAAGCAUGACUGAGAAGACAUGUGGAGCUUCUAGAAGUGAGAAUGCCGGUAUGAGUAACGAAAGACAGGUGAGAAUCCUGUCCGCCGCAAGACUAAGGUUUCCUGGGGCAGGCUCGUCCGCCCAGGGUAAGUCGGGACCUAAGGCGAGGCCGAGAGGCGUAGUCGAUGGACAACAGGUUGAAAUUCCUGUACUGCACCGAAUCGUUAUGAGCGAUGGAGGGACGCAGGAGGCUAGCAGCGCGUGGUGCUGGAUACCACGUUCAAGCGUCAAGUCUGAGAG